RNAcentral lists this ribosomal RNA (513 nucleotides) under uncultured bacterium. RNAcentral's name for it is "partial 16S ribosomal RNA". It matches the Rfam family "Bacterial small subunit ribosomal RNA", at positions 28 to 523 of the family's 1533-position model. The record is from RNAcentral.
GAUGAACGCUGGCGGCGUGCCUAAUACAUGCAAGUCGAGCGGACCAAAGAGAGCUUGCUCUCUGAGGUUAGCGGCGGACGGGUGAGUAACACGUGGGUAACCUGCCUGUAAGACGGGGAUAACUUCGGGAAACCGAAGCUAAUACCGGAUGAUAAAGAGAAACGCCUGUUUCUUUUUUGAAAGUCGGCCUUGUGCUGACGCUUACAGAUGGGCCCGCGGCGCAUUAGCUAGUUGGUGAGGUAACGGCUCACCAAUGCGACGAUGCGUAGCCGACCGGAGAGGGUGAGCGGCCACACGGGGAAAGCGACCCGGCCCAGACUCCUACGGGAGGCCACAGUAGGGAAUCUUCGGCAAGGGACGAAGGUCUGACCGAGCAACGCCGCGUGAGCGAUGAGGGCGUUCGGGUCGUAAAGCUCUGUUGUCAGAGAAGAGCAAGUACCGGAGUAACUGCCGGUACCUUGACGGUACCUGACCAGAAAGCCACGGCUAACUACGUGCCAGCCGCCGCCGUAA